AUACGAAAGGUGCAAGCGUUGUUCGGAUUUACUGGGCGUAAAGAGAUCGUAGGUGGUUUAUUAAGUCGGAUGUGAAAUCCCGGGGCUCAACCUCGGAACUGCAUUCGAUACUGGUAGACUAGAGUUUGGGAGGGGUAAGCGGAAUUCCGUGUGUAGCAGUGAAAUGCGUAGAUAUACGGAGGAACACCUGAGGCAAAGGCGGCUUACUGGACCAAUACUGACACUGAGGAUCGAAAGCGUGGGUAGCAAACAGGAUUAGAUACCCCAGUAGUCC
Molecule: ribosomal RNA, 274 nt
Filed under: uncultured bacterium
Lineage: Bacteria
Description: partial 16S ribosomal RNA
Rfam family: Bacterial small subunit ribosomal RNA
Source: RNAcentral